GGGGUUUUAGCUCAGUGGUAGAGCGCUCACCUAGCACGUGAGAGGCACUGGAUUCCA
This 57-nucleotide transfer RNA is filed under the name Urocitellus parryii (Arctic ground squirrel). Its description in RNAcentral is "Spermophilus parryii (Arctic ground squirrel) tRNA". It matches the Rfam family "tRNA", at positions 1 to 56 of the family's 71-position model. Rfam says of the family: Transfer RNA (tRNA) molecules are approximately 80 nucleotides in length. Their secondary structure includes four short double-helical elements and three loops (D, anti-codon, and T loops). Further hydrogen bonds mediate the characteristic L-shaped molecular structure. tRNAs have two regions of fundamental functional importance: the anti-codon, which is responsible for specific mRNA codon recognition, and the 3' end, to which the tRNAs corresponding amino acid is attached (by aminoacyl-tRNA synthetases). tRNAs cope with the degeneracy of the genetic code in two manners: having more than one tRNA (with a specific anti-codon) for a particular amino acid; and 'wobble' base-pairing, i.e. permitting non-standard base-pairing at the 3rd anti-codon position. Lineage: Eukaryota; Metazoa; Chordata; Mammalia; Rodentia; Sciuridae. RNAcentral also lists the same sequence under 2 other names. The record is from Rfam by way of RNAcentral.